This is a non-coding RNA of Chlorocebus sabaeus (green monkey), 1293 nucleotides long. NCBI's taxonomy places the organism in Eukaryota, Metazoa, Chordata, Mammalia, Primates, Cercopithecidae. The record is from RefSeq and is a predicted model, not a curated record.
GGACUCAGCCCGCCUGCACCCAGGUGAAAUUAACAGCCAUGUUGCUCAUACAAAGCCUGUUUGGUGGUCUCUUCACACGGACGCGCGUGACAGCAGCUAACUCCUUUCUGGAGUUUGAGUUUUUUCCUGCUUCUGGGAUAGUAGAGAGCAGUCUUCCACCUGAGACCCAUUCCUAGCCUGCUUUAAGUCUGCUGUUACUUUUCCACUGAGAUAAAAUCCACUGUUUGCAUCCAACCAUCUCUUUUUGCUAUUGUUUGCAAACUGGAAACCAAAAUUAUGGUAUUCUCAAAACCAGAGAUGCCAACCUCUCUUAUUUGGCAUCCUGUUAACCAGUGGAAGAGAUCCAAGUUACCGGCGGCAAAUCUGUACAGGUCCACAGCAACUUGAGUCCUUGCUUCUUCACAAGAAAGAAUCUGACUGAGGGGCAUAAAGCAGAAAAAGAGACCAAGGCAAGUUCCAGAGCAGGAAUGGAAGUUUAUUUGAAAAGGUCUUAGAACAGGAAAGCAAGUGUGCUUGGAAGAGACCCAAGUGGGCACAUGAAGGUUAAAGAGAAAAGGUCAAGUGCCCUGUUCAACCGUGAUCCUAGGAAUUUUAUAAGCUCGCCUCUUUCCCAUGUUUCUUCCUUUAGAGCGGGCUUUCCACUUGCCCAGUGCUUUCCUUAUCCUUUGGAAAUGAACACACGCAAUGUAUUUAGGGAGUUAUAAGCACACCCAUCUGAGGCUUCCUUCCCUUUUCCGGUGAAGUGUGCCCCCCGGAAGAUCAUACCUCACCAAUUUUUUUUUUUUUUUGGUCUCAACAUGCAUGCCCAGGAAGUUGCUCCUCCGUGGGGCCUGCAUUCAAUUAACAUUUUGAUGAUGUUAACAGGUGUGGACCAUCAGGACCAUCAGCCUCUCCCUGGUGCUGCCGAAUUAUCAUUUUUAGACAGGCAAUGCGAUAAUUGCUGAACCAUCUACCCGACAUUCUAGUUGUUAGAGGAGAGCUCUCUCUGCUGCCCAGCUCAUGUCUAACCACCUGUAACAAUCCCACUGAGCCCAAUCUGUUUUUCACUGCAAAUGCCUUACUACUAAGACCAUAUAAGCACCCUCCCUCUAGGCCCAGGGACUGUUACAUGAGAGUGUAAGGGCAAGUUUUGAGGGAUACAAUUAGGUCAAGGUCAGACCCUCCAAAUCAAGGAUAUGUACAAAGAUGCCUGAACAGCUGGUAAAAGAAGAAAAUAAUUACUGACAGGAUAACGAUACCUUACGACAAAGCCUCCUGGGUAUGAGUUGUACAGAUAUACAUAUUUUUUUAAAU